Molecule: ribosomal RNA, 434 nt
Filed under: uncultured Ruminococcus sp.
Lineage: Bacteria; Bacillati; Bacillota; Clostridia; Eubacteriales; Oscillospiraceae
Description: bacterial SSU rRNA
Rfam family: Bacterial small subunit ribosomal RNA
Source: RNAcentral
ACGGGAGGCAGCAGUGGGGAAUAUUGCACAAUGGGCGGAAGCCUGAUGCAGCGAUGCCGCGUGGAGGAAGAAGGUUUUCGGAUUGUAAACUCCUUUUAUCAGGGACGAUAAUGACGGUACCUGAAGAAAAAGCUCCGGCUAACUACGUGCCAGCAGCCGCGGUAAUACGUAGGGAGCGAGCGUUGUCCGGAAUUACUGGGUGUAAAGGGUGCGUAGGCGGGGAUGCAAGUCAGAUGUGAAAUGUAUGGGCUCAACCCAUGAACUGCAUUUGAAACUGCAACUCUUGAGUGAGGUAGAGGUAAGCGGAAUUCCUAGUGUAGCGGUGAAAUGCGUAGAUAUUAGGAGGAACAUCGGUGGCGAAGGCGGCUUACUGGGCCUUUACUGACGCUGAGGCACGAAAGCGUGGGGAGCAAACAGGAUUAGAUACCCUGGUA